AACGCACCUUGCGCUCCUUGGUAUUCCGAGGAGCAUGCCUGUUUGAGUGUCUUGAAGUCAUCAACACCGCACGUUUCUUGCGAGCGAGCGGAGGUUGGAUCUGGGGGCUCUGCCGCUCUACGAGUCGGCUCCCCUCAAAUGCUUCGGUUGGGCCUGUGGGUCGAACUCGACUGGGCGUUGUACCAUCCUCGCUCGAACGGGACGGACCCCUAACGUGCCGAACCUCGACCUGCCUCGCUGUGGGCGGUCAACUCAAGCCUUUGAAAUCUGACCUCAAAUCAGGUAGGACUACCCGCUGAACUUAA
Molecule: unclassified non-coding RNA, 305 nt
Filed under: uncultured fungus
Lineage: Eukaryota; Fungi
Description: partial contains 5.8S ribosomal RNA, internal transcribed spacer 2, and large subunit ribosomal RNA
Rfam family: 5.8S ribosomal RNA (bases 1-52)
Source: RNAcentral